This 767-nucleotide long non-coding RNA is filed under the name Pan troglodytes (chimpanzee). RNAcentral describes it as "long non-coding RNA NONPTRT016316". The record is from RNAcentral. Lineage: Eukaryota; Metazoa; Chordata; Mammalia; Primates; Hominidae.
CAGCAAACGGCAGUCCUCUGCCCUGGCAGUGCAGAAGCCAGGAGUUGAACCCAUGUCUCUCACCAGGUUAAGCUGCCUCGCUAAGUUCGGAUGUGACCUCAGAAACAGAGGCUACUCCAGCAAUACAAGAUGCUUUAUUUUUCGGCUUCUACCUAUGCCACCCAAUCCCUUCACUGGGCCUAACUUAGUGAAUCAAAUUAAGUAUAUUUCCCUCCAAGUUUCCCCAGGAUUCUGGGCUCCUUUGCACACUACAGGUUUUCUCUAAACGCCCCGGGUUUAUCUAUCCUUUGGUGAAUUUUCAACUCUUCUUAUUUCUCUGCCCUGUCCUGACCAAAAAUCUUCAGUGCCUGUUUCUCUCUGCCAUCCAAAUCCCACACACAUCUAGGGGUGAAUCGGUGAAUCUGCGCUGAUGAGUGACACGUUUUGUGAAUCCUUUCUAGGAUCUCAGUAUUUCAUCCUAUCCGGAGGGAAGGCUCUAAAGAGCUCAAGGAAGACCUCACGAUGUCUAUGUGUGAGAAGAAACCUUUCACCCCUUCACUAUCACACCCCAUCAUCCAAGCACACACUCCUCUUUCAUCCCAUAAACCCCGGUCAGUGUCACCUGGAGUUAUAAGGAUGGGGUGACUUACCUAGUAACUGAAGACGCUCAGUAAUCUGAAAAAGAAAAAUCCCUUCACUUUAUAACUCAGGAGAUAACACCAACAGUCACUUCCGGCAGAGCUCAUGGCCACAGUGCAAGUUAAAAAAGGUAAAGACCCCUGUCUGGU